CCUACGGGGGGCUGCAGUGAGGAAUAUUGGUCAAUGGACGAGAGUCUGAACCAGCCAAGUAGCGUGAAGGAUGACUGCCCUAUGGGUUGUAAACUUCUUUUAUAUGGGAAUAAAAUGUUCCACGUGUGGGAUUUUGUAUGUACCAUAUGAAUAAGGAUCGGCUAACUCCGUGCCAGCAGCCGCGGUAAUACGGAGGAUCCGAGCGUUAUCCGGAUUUAUUGGGUUUAAAGGGAGCGUAGGUGGAUUGUUAAGUCAGUUGUGAAAGUUUGCGGCUCAACCGUAAAAUUGCAGUUGAAACUGGCAGUCUUGAGUACAGUAGAUGUGGGCGGAAUUCGUGGUGUAGCGGUGAAAUGCUUAGAUAUCACGAAGAACUCCGAUUGCGAAGGCAGUUCACUGGACUGCAACUGACACUGAGGCUCGAAAGUGUGGGUAUCAAACAGGAUUAGAUACCCUAGUAGUC
This 460-nucleotide ribosomal RNA is filed under the name uncultured bacterium. RNAcentral describes it as "partial 16S ribosomal RNA". It matches the Rfam family "Bacterial small subunit ribosomal RNA", at positions 338 to 795 of the family's 1533-position model. The record is from RNAcentral.